Molecule: ribosomal RNA, 406 nt
Filed under: uncultured bacterium
Lineage: Bacteria
Description: partial 16S ribosomal RNA
Rfam family: Bacterial small subunit ribosomal RNA
Source: RNAcentral
AUUGAACGCUGGCGGCAGGCCUAACACAUGCAAGUCGAACGAGUGGCGGACGGGUGAGUAAUGUCUGGGAAACUGCCCGAUGGAGGGGGAUAACUACUGGAAACGGUAGCUAAUACCGCAUACCAUCGGAUGUGCCCAGAUGGGAUUAGCUAGUAGGUGGGGUAACGGCUCACCAAGGCGACGAUGCAUAGCUGGCCUGAGAGGGUGAUCAGCCACACUGGAACUGAGACACGGCCCAGACUCCUACGGGAGGCAGCAGUGGGGAAUAUUCGGCAAUGGGCGAAAGCCUGACAGAGCAACGCCGCGUGAGUGAAGAAGGUUUUCGGGUUGUAAAGCACUUUCAGUAGGGAGGCGGUAUCUAAAGAGGAAGCACCGGCUAACUACGUGCCAGCAGCCGCGGUAAUAC